UACAGAGGGUGCGAGCGUUAAUCGGAAUUACUGGGCGUAAAGCGCGUGUAGGCGGGAAGAUAAGUCGGGUGUGAAAUCCCUGGGCUCAACCUAGGAACUGCAUCCGAAACUGCCUUUCUGGAGUGAUGGAGAGGAAAGCGGAAUUCCCGGUGUAGAGGUGAAAUUCGUAGAUAUCGGGAGGAACACCAGUGGCGAAGGCGGCUUUCUGGCCAUCAACUGACGCUGAGACGCGAAAGCGUGGGGAGCAAACAGG
Molecule: ribosomal RNA, 253 nt
Filed under: uncultured bacterium
Lineage: Bacteria
Description: partial 16S ribosomal RNA
Rfam family: Bacterial small subunit ribosomal RNA
Source: RNAcentral